Molecule: ribosomal RNA, 253 nt
Filed under: uncultured bacterium
Lineage: Bacteria
Description: partial 16S ribosomal RNA
Rfam family: Bacterial small subunit ribosomal RNA
Source: RNAcentral
UACGACGGGGGCUAGCGUUGUUCGGAAUUACUGGGCGUAAAGCGUAUGCAGGCGGACUUUUAAGUCGGGGGUGAAAUCCCGAGGCUCAACCUCGGAACUGCCUUCGAUACUGGAAGUCUUGAGUCCGGGAGAGGUGAGUGGAACUCCGAGUGUAGAGGUGAAAUUCGUAGAUAUUCGGAAGAACACCAGUGGCGAAGGCGGCUCACUGGCCCGGUACUGACGCUGAGAUACGAAAGCGUGGGGAGCAAACAGG